GAUGAAGAACGUAGCGAAAUGCGAUAAGUAAUGUGAAUUGCAGAAUUCAGUGAAUCAUCGAAUCUUUGAACGCACCUUGCGCCCUUUGGCCAUUCCGAAGGGCAUGCCUGUUUGAGUAUCAUGAACACCUCAACUCUUCAUGGUUUUCCGUGAUGAGCUUGGACUUUGGGGGUCUUGCUGGCCUAUGGUCAGCUCCUCUAAAAUAAAUCAGCUUGCCAGUGUUUGGUGGGUAUCACAGGUGUGAUAACUAUCUACGCUUGUGGUUUUCCACCAGGUAACCUUCAGCAGUGGAGGUUCGCUGGAGCUCACAGAUGUGUCUCUCCUCAGUGAGGACAGCUCUUUGAAUGUUUGAUCUCACAUCAGGUAGGACUACCCGCUGAACUUAAGCAUAUCAAUAAGCGGAGGA
RNAcentral lists this unclassified non-coding RNA (406 nucleotides) under soil metagenome. Its description in RNAcentral is "partial contains 5.8S ribosomal RNA, internal transcribed spacer 2, and large subunit ribosomal RNA". The stretch from base 1 to 121 matches the Rfam family "5.8S ribosomal RNA", at positions 35 to 154 of the family's 154-position model. The record is from RNAcentral.